RNAcentral lists this ribosomal RNA (777 nucleotides) under uncultured Streptococcaceae bacterium. Its description in RNAcentral is "SSU rRNA". It matches the Rfam family "Bacterial small subunit ribosomal RNA", at positions 82 to 846 of the family's 1533-position model. Lineage: Bacteria; Bacillati; Bacillota; Bacilli; Lactobacillales; Streptococcaceae. The record is from RNAcentral.
UCUUCUUGGAUGAGUUGCGAACGGGUGAGUAACGCGUAGGUAACCUGCCUUGUAGCGGGGGAUAACUAUUGGAAACGAUAGCUAAUACCGCAUAACAAUGGAUGACACAUGUCAUUUAUUUGAAAGGGGCAAUUGCUCCACUACAAGAUGGACCUGCGUUGUAUUAGCUAGUAGGUGAGGUAACGGCUCACCUAGGCGACGAUACAUAGCCGACCUGAGAGGGUGAUCGGCCACACUGGGACUGAGACACGGCCCAGACUCCUACGGGAGGCAGCAGUAGGGAAUCUUCGGCAAUGGGGGCAACCCUGACCGAGCAACGCCGCGUGAGUGAAGAAGGUUUUCGGAUCGUAAAGCUCUGUUGUAAGUCAAGAACGAGUGUGAGAGUGGAAAGUUCACACUGUGACGGUAGCUUACCAGAAAGGGACGGCUAACUACGUGCCAGCAGCCGCGGUAAUACGUAGGUCCCGAGCGUUGUCCGGAUUUAUUGGGCGUAAAGCGAGCGCAGGCGGUUUGAUAAGUCUGAAGUUAAAGGCUGUGGCUCAACCAUAGUUUGCUUUGGAAACUGUCAAACUUGAGUGCAGAAGGGGAGAGCGGAAUUCCAUGUGUAGCGGUGAAAUGCGUAGAUAUAUGGAGGAACACCGGUGGCGAAAGCGGCUCUCUGGUCUGUAACUGACGCUGAGGCUCGAAAGCGUGGGGAGCGAACAGGAUUAGAUACCCUGGUAGUCCACGCCGUAAACGAUGAGUGCUAGGUGUUGGAUCCUUUCCGGGAUUCAGUGC